This 737-nucleotide ribosomal RNA is filed under the name Pseudomonas sp. RNAcentral describes it as "bacterial SSU rRNA". It matches the Rfam family "Bacterial small subunit ribosomal RNA", at positions 20 to 751 of the family's 1533-position model. Lineage: Bacteria; Pseudomonadati; Pseudomonadota; Gammaproteobacteria; Pseudomonadales; Pseudomonadaceae. The record is from RNAcentral.
UGGCUCAGAUUGAACGCUGGCGGCAGGCCUAACACAUGCAAGUCGAGCGGAUGACGGGAGCUUGCUCCUUGAUUCAGCGGCGGACGGGUGAGUAAUGCCUAGGAAUCUGCCUGGUAGUGGGGGACAACGUUUCGAAAGGAACGCUAAUACCGCAUACGUCCUACGGGAGAAAGCAGGGGACCUUCGGGCCUUGCGCUAUCAGAUGAGCCUAGGUCGGAUUAGCUAGUUGGUGAGGUAAUGGCUCACCAAGGCGACGAUCCGUAACUGGUCUGAGAGGAUGAUCAGUCACACUGGAACUGAGACACGGUCCAGACUCCUACGGGAGGCAGCAGUGGGGAAUAUUGGACAAUGGGCGAAAGCCUGAUCCAGCCAUGCCGCGUGUGUGAAGAAGGUCUUCGGAUUGUAAAGCACUUUAAGUUGGGAGGAAGGGCAGUAAGUUAAUACCUUGCUGUUUUGACGUUACCGACAGAAUAAGCACCGGCUAACUCUGUGCCAGCAGCCGCGGUAAUACAGAGGGUGCAAGCGUUAAUCGGAAUUACUGGGCGUAAAGCGCGCGUAGGUGGUUCGUUAAGUUGGAUGUGAAAGCCCCGGGCUCAACCUGGGAACUGCAUCCAAAACUGGCGAGCUAGAGUACGGUAGAGGGUGGUGGAAUUUCCUGUGUAGCGGUGAAAUGCGUAGAUAUAGGAAGGAACACCAGUGGCGAAGGCGACCACCUGGCACUGAUACUGACACUGAGG